RNAcentral lists this long non-coding RNA (453 nucleotides) under Numida meleagris (helmeted guineafowl). RNAcentral describes it as "lncRNA (ENSNMEG00000000734.1)". Lineage: Eukaryota; Metazoa; Chordata; Aves; Galliformes; Numididae. The record is from RNAcentral.
CAAGAACUCUUAUUUCUGGUUUUCCAUUGUACUAUAAAAAUGUUGUGAAUAUCACUUUUCAUUUAGAUUCAAAGAAAAGGAAGCUUCGUGAAUACUUACAUCGGAAAACAACUAUGGACUGCACUAGAUUUCCAAUCCAAAACAAUAGCACUUGAGCUGUAGCUGGAUAAAGAUGAAUGGGUAUGUUUUUGAGCAGUCGGAACUUGGAGCUGUGGGAAGUCUGUAUUAAUUUCUGCUGGCUAAGAAACUGCAGAAGAAUUAUGCCAUCUGUAAUCAGGCUGAGAGAUCUCAAUUAUCACAGUUCUACAUGACUAGGCUAAAGAUGCUAACAACCUCUACCAGAGAACAGCUUUUUCAGACUUUCACCUUCCCUGUGGAACUAUUGUACAAGAGUUCAUAAAGGUAUGUAAAAGUAAAUGUCAGAAUAGGACAAUAUCCUGAGAAGAAAAAUAU